RNAcentral lists this ribozyme (189 nucleotides) under Anopheles stephensi (Asian malaria mosquito). RNAcentral describes it as "drz-agam-2-2 ribozyme". It matches the Rfam family "drz-agam-2-2 ribozyme". Lineage: Eukaryota; Metazoa; Arthropoda; Insecta; Diptera; Culicidae. The record is from Rfam by way of RNAcentral.
AGCAAUACUGCACUGGUAAGGUAUGGAUCCGAAGCCUGUUGAACGUUAACAUUGGCUCUCCAAACCCAAUUCGACUCAAUACGCCCCCGGCGUACAGAACGGUAACAUGUCCCUCCAAAUAUCUGAGCCUGGGUAUAUGGGGAAACCAAACCCCAUGGGAAGGUGGAUGAUAUGGCUAGCUAGCGUCUG